GACGAACGCUGGCGGCGUGCUUAACACAUGCAAGUCGAACGGAAAGGCCCUGCUUUUGUGGGGUGCUCGAGUGGCGAACGGGUGAGUAACACGUGAGUAACCUGCCCUUGACUUUGGGAUAACUUCAGGAAACUGGGGCUAAUACCGGAUAGGAGCUCCUGCUGCAUGGUGGGGGUUGGAAAGUUUCGGCGGUUGGGGAUGGACUCGCGGCUUAUCAGCUUGUUGGUGGGGUAGUGGCUUACCAAGGCUUUGACGGGUAGCCGGCCUGAGAGGGUGACCGGCCACAUUGGGACUGAGAUACGGCCCAGACUCCUACGGGGGGCAGCAGUGGGGAAUAUUGCACAAUGGGCGGAAGCCGGAGGCAGCAACGCCGCGUGCGGGAUGACGGCCUUCGGGUUGUAAACCGCUUUCGCCUGUGACGAAGCGGGAGUGACGGUAAUGGGUAAAGAAGCACCGGCUAACUACGUG
RNAcentral lists this ribosomal RNA (468 nucleotides) under uncultured bacterium. RNAcentral describes it as "partial 16S ribosomal RNA". It matches the Rfam family "Bacterial small subunit ribosomal RNA", at positions 28 to 507 of the family's 1533-position model. The record is from RNAcentral.